Molecule: ribosomal RNA, 366 nt
Filed under: uncultured bacterium
Lineage: Bacteria
Description: bacterial SSU rRNA
Rfam family: Bacterial small subunit ribosomal RNA
Source: RNAcentral
GAUCAACGCUGGCGGCGUGCCUAACGCAUGUAAGUCGAACGCAGAGCCUUUCGGGGCUCUGCGUGGCGAACGGCUGAGGAACACGUACGAACCUGCCCGCUUGUGGGGAAUAACGCACCGAAAGGUGUGCUAAUACCGCGUACGCUCACAUGGCAACAUGUGAGGAAAGUCGCAAGACGCUGGCGGAGGGGCGUGCGGCCCAUCAGGUUGUUGGUGGGGUAAGGCCUACCAAGCCGACGACGGGUAGCUGGUCUGUGAGGACGAUCAGCCAGACUGGGACUGCGAAACGGCCCAGACACCUACGGGUGGCAGCAGCGAGGAAUCUUCCACAAUGGGCGAAAGCCCGAUGGAGCAACGCCGCGUGGA